GAUGAAGAACGUAGCGAAAUGCGAUAAGCAAUGUGAAUUGCAGAAUUCAGUGAAUCAUCGAAUCUUUGAACGCACAUUGCGCCCGCCAGUAUUCUGGCGGGCAUGCCUGUUCGAGCGUCAUUACAACCCUCAGGCCCCCGGGCCUGGCGUUGGGGAUCGGCGGAGCCCCCCGUGGGCACACGCCGUCCCCCAAAUACAGUGGCGGUCCCGCCGCAGCUUCCAUCGCGUAGUAGCUAACACCUCGCGACUGGAGAGCGGCGCGGCCACGCCGUAAAACACCCAACUCUUCUGAAGUUGACCUCGAAUCAGGUAGGAAUACCCGCUGAACUUAAGCAUAUCAAUAAGCGGAGGA
Molecule: unclassified non-coding RNA, 352 nt
Filed under: soil metagenome
Description: partial contains 5.8S ribosomal RNA, internal transcribed spacer 2, and large subunit ribosomal RNA
Rfam family: 5.8S ribosomal RNA (bases 1-120)
Source: RNAcentral